Molecule: ribosomal RNA, 672 nt
Filed under: Litsea grandis
Lineage: Eukaryota; Viridiplantae; Streptophyta; Magnoliopsida; Laurales; Lauraceae
Description: eukaryotic LSU rRNA
Rfam family: 5.8S ribosomal RNA (bases 218-373)
Source: RNAcentral
UUACCACCACCGGCGAACCAGUCCCGCCGAGACGCCGCCCGCGGCGCGCGGCCCCGGGGGACGACCCCGGGGGGCGCGCGUGCGGACGGGCUCCGAACGACCCCCCAGGGCGCGGCGAGCGCCAAGGAAUAUAGAAGCGGAAAGGGGCGGCCGCCCCGUCCGGGGACGCGGCGUCGCCGCGGGGAUCCGCCGCCCCGUCUGCGAACCACUUACGGACGACUCUCGGCAACGGAUAUCUCGGCUCUCGCAUCGAUGAAGAACGUAGCGAAAUGCGAUACUUGGUGUGAAUUGCAGAAUCCCGCGAACCAUCGAGUCUUUGAACGCAAGUUGCGCCCGAGGCCACUCGGCCGAGGGCACGCCUGCCUGGGCGUCACGCCACCCAUCGCCCCCUCCCGCGGCAUUCACGUGCCCGGCCGGGGAGCGGAGACUGGCCGUCCGUGCCCGAGCCCUCGGCGCGCGGUCGGCGGAAAAGGAGGACACCGUGCGGCGCGACACGGCGUGUGGGGGUCGAGGGGCGAUCCGUCGCCCGAUCGAACGUCGCGCCCGCGUUCCGCCGCGCGGUGUCGAGCGCGGGACCAGACCCGCCCGCAGCCGCGGGCGCCCGGACCGCGACCCCAGGUCAGGCGUGGCCACCCGCUGAAUUUAAGCAUAUCAAUAAGCGGAGGAAAAGAA